This 491-nucleotide ribosomal RNA is filed under the name uncultured bacterium. Its description in RNAcentral is "partial 16S ribosomal RNA". It matches the Rfam family "Bacterial small subunit ribosomal RNA", at positions 28 to 507 of the family's 1533-position model. The record is from RNAcentral.
GAUGAACGCUAGCGAUAGGCUUAACACAUGCAAGUCGAGGGGUAACGUGUUGGAAGCUUGCUUCCGAUGACGCCGACCGGCGGAUGGGUGCGUAACGCGUAUGCAACUUGCCUCACAGUGGAGAAUAACCCGGAGAAAUCCGGACUAAUACUCCAUACACUCUUAAGUACGCCUGUACAUGAGAGGAAAGAUUUAUCGCUGUGAGAUAGGCAUGCGUCCUAUUAGGUAGUUGGUGAGCUAACGGCUCACCAAGCCGCCGAUAGGUAGGGGUGCUGAGAGGCAGAUCCCCCACAUUGGGACUGAGACACGGCCCAAACUCCUACGGGAGGCAGCAGUGAGGAAUAUUGGUCAAUGGAAGAAACUCUGAACCAGCCAAGUCGCGUGAAGGAAGAAUGUCCUAAGGAUUGUAAACUUCUUUAGCGAGCGAGUAAGGACUUCCACGUGAUGGGAGUUUGAAAGUAGCUCGAGAAUAAGUAUCGGCUAACUCCGUG